Caenorhabditis elegans is the source of this 21-nucleotide non-coding RNA. The record is from Ensembl. NCBI's taxonomy places the organism in Eukaryota, Metazoa, Nematoda, Chromadorea, Rhabditida, Rhabditidae.
UUAUGAGUCCUAUUUAAUCGA